AGGACGAACGCUGGCGGCGUGCUUAACACAUGCAAGUCGAGCGGAAAGGCCCUUUCGGGGUACUCGAGCGGCGAACGGGUGAGUAACACGUGAGCAAUCUGCCCUUAGCUUCGGGAUAGCUCCGGGAAACCGGGAAUUAAUACCGGAUAUGACUAUGGCUGACAUCAGCCACGGUGGAAAGUUUUUCGGCUAGGGAUGAGCUCGGCGGCCUAUCAGCUAGUUGGUGGGGUAACGGCCUACCAAGGCGACGACGGGUA
Molecule: ribosomal RNA, 257 nt
Filed under: uncultured bacterium
Lineage: Bacteria
Description: partial small subunit ribosomal RNA
Rfam family: Bacterial small subunit ribosomal RNA
Source: RNAcentral